CCUACGGGAGGCAGCAGUGGGGAAUAUUGGACAAUGGGGGCAACCCUGAUCCAGCCAUGCCGCGUGUGUGAAGAAGGCCCUCGGGUUGUAAAGCGCUUUCAGUGAGGAAGAACGCCUGGUGGUUAAUACCCAUCAGGAAAGACAUCACUCACAGAAGAAGCACCGGCUAACUCCGUGCCAGCAGCCGCGGUAAUACGGAGGGUGCGAGCGUUAAUCGGAAUUACUGGGCGUAAAGCGCGCGUAGGUGGCUUGAUAAGCCGGUUGUGAAAGCCCCGGGCUCAACCUGGGAACGGCAUCCGGAACUGUCAAGCUAGAGUGCAGGAGAGGAAGGUAGAAUUCCCGGUGUAGCGGUGAAAUGCGUAGAGAUCGGGAGGAAUACCAGUGGCGAAGGCGGCCUUCUGGACUGACACUGACACUGAGGUGCGAAAGCGUGGGUAGCAAACAGGAUAGAUACCCUAGUAGUC
This 464-nucleotide ribosomal RNA is filed under the name Vreelandella stevensii. RNAcentral's name for it is "partial 16S ribosomal RNA". It matches the Rfam family "Bacterial small subunit ribosomal RNA", at positions 338 to 795 of the family's 1533-position model. Lineage: Bacteria; Pseudomonadati; Pseudomonadota; Gammaproteobacteria; Oceanospirillales; Halomonadaceae. The record is from RNAcentral.